Molecule: ribosomal RNA, 253 nt
Filed under: uncultured bacterium
Lineage: Bacteria
Description: partial 16S ribosomal RNA
Rfam family: Bacterial small subunit ribosomal RNA
Source: RNAcentral
UACGAAGGGGGCUAGCGUUGCUCGGAAUGACUGGGCGUAAAGGGCGCGUAGGCGGUUUGUACAGUCAGAUGUGAAAUUCCUGGGCUCAACCUGGGGGCUGCAUUUGAUACGUAUGGACUGGAGUGAGGAAGAGGGUCGUGGAAUUCCCAGUGUAGAGGUGAAAUUCGUAGAUAUUGGGAAGAACACCGGUGGCGGAGGCGGCGACCUGGUCCUUUACUGACGCUGAGGCGCGAAAGCGUGGGGAGCAAACAGG